ACGAUUGAAACGGCGCGCCGGGUCCCCUAUAUCUGUCUUGUUCUUCGGGACUAUGGACAUAAACGCGCUCGUAAUAAGCGGAUCGGACCCGGGGGCGGUACCCGGCGGCUCCACCAAUAAUCCUUCAUUUGGGGAUCAUGGGGCCGAAACAGGAUCGACGAACGUCUAAAGGGGUUAGCUUUGUCCCGGUGAGAUACCACCGUUAUCGGUUCAAAACGUACAAUUGCAAAUGACAAUCGUGCACCGGUGGCAAUGGCUGCGUAAGCAGUCGGAUCUACCGAAAUCUUAAGCCCUGAUGCCUUGCAGCAUCAGGCGGGGUUCGCAGGCACCUGGCAACAGAAGCCUGCACU
RNAcentral lists this transfer-messenger RNA (350 nucleotides) under Sulfitobacter alexandrii. RNAcentral describes it as "Sulfitobacter sp. AM1-D1 transfer-messenger RNA". It matches the Rfam family "Alphaproteobacteria transfer-messenger RNA". From Rfam's summary of the family: Bacterial tmRNA, also known as 10Sa RNA or SsrA, is named for its dual tRNA and mRNA-like properties. The record is from RNAcentral. Lineage: Bacteria; Pseudomonadati; Pseudomonadota; Alphaproteobacteria; Rhodobacterales; Roseobacteraceae.